Molecule: ribosomal RNA, 433 nt
Filed under: uncultured bacterium
Lineage: Bacteria
Description: partial 16S ribosomal RNA
Rfam family: Bacterial small subunit ribosomal RNA
Source: RNAcentral
AACGAACGCUGGCGGCAUGCCUAACACAUGCAAGUCGAACGAGACCUUCGGGUCUAGUGGCGCACGGGUGCGUAACGCGUGGGAACCUGCCCUUAGGUUCGGAAUAACUCCCCGAAAGGGGUGCUAAUACCGGAUAAUGUCUUCGGACCAAAGAUUUAUCGCCUUUGGAUGGGCCCGCGUUGGAUUAGCUAGUUGAUAGGGUAAAAGCCUACCAAGGCGACGAUCCAUAGCUGGUCUGAGAGGAUGGUCAGCCACACUGGGACUGAGACACGGCCCAGACUCCUACGGGAGGCAGCAGUGGGGAAUAUUGGACAAUGGGCGAAAGCCUGAUCCAGCAAUGCCGCGUGAGUGAUGAAGGCCUUAGGGUUGUAAAGCUCUUUUACCCGGGAUGAUAAUGACAGUACCGGGAGAAUAAGCUCCGGCUAACUCCGUG